RNAcentral lists this ribosomal RNA (709 nucleotides) under Aphelenchus avenae. Its description in RNAcentral is "eukaryotic LSU rRNA". It matches the Rfam family "Eukaryotic large subunit ribosomal RNA", at positions 392 to 949 of the family's 3401-position model. Lineage: Eukaryota; Metazoa; Nematoda; Chromadorea; Rhabditida; Aphelenchidae. The record is from RNAcentral.
AGAGGACGUGAAACCGAUGAGAUGGAAACGGAAAGAGGUACCGAAAAUGCUCGUAUUCAGCUGCCUUUUUGCGUGUGCCUUGCCUUUGCGAUCCCGCUAGGGUUGUGAGGUGCGGUUUCAUGCGGACUGGCAGUGCAUUUGCGAGUAAUGUGCGCUGCGGCGUGUGGUUAGGUCAUCUGAUGUGCGAUUAGAGGACUCCUUUUGGAGAAACCUGGUUGCGCGGAUGUUGAUUCGAACUGCAUGUUGAGGAAUUGGCCAACGUGCGGGGUGGCUGCUAAGGUCGUUCCUUGCGUAAAUCGCAUGCGAUUUGCGCUUGCGGAUAGCCUUGAUAGUCGCUUCGUGAACAGUUCCGACCGCAGUGUCAAAGGUGCUCAUCUUUCCGACCCGUCUUGAAACACGGACCAAGGAGUAUACAGUAUGUGCGAGUCAUUGAGUUCUAAACUCAAAGGCGUAAUGAAAGUAAAGAUUCCGUAAGGUUUUGAUAUGCGAUCUCGGUUGCCUCGGUAGCUGAGAGCAGCAUAGCCCCGUCUUGACUGCUUGCAGUAGGGCGGAGGUAGAGCGCAUGCUAUGUGACCCGAAAGAUGGUGAACUAUGCUUGAACAGGAUGAAGCCAGAGGAAACUCUGGGUGGAAGUCCGAAGCGAUUCUGACGUGCAAAUCGAUCGUCUGAUUUGAGUAUAGGGGCGAAAGACUAAUCGAACCAUCUAGUA